This 460-nucleotide long non-coding RNA is filed under the name Dermacentor andersoni. Its description in RNAcentral is "uncharacterized LOC126529916". Lineage: Eukaryota; Metazoa; Arthropoda; Arachnida; Ixodida; Ixodidae. The record is from RNAcentral.
CCUAGCCACAGUAGCUCCCUCAUGCAGACUCCACAAGCCAAGAGGCCAUGGAGGCAAAUGCAGGCAGCCAGCACACCUCGAACAGCCACCUUGAAUGCGGGUGUGUCACCCUAGUCGCCAAGGGAGCAUUUGAGGGAAAGCGACAGGCAAUGUGAACAGCCACUUCUCUAUGUAAACGAUACUCUUUCUCUCGGAUGACUCCUAUGCCUCGCCACGCCAGCUCAUCUGUGCAGACUCCACCAACAAAGAUGCCGCGGAGGCACGUGCAGGUCAGAGACAAGAAGCAGUGGCACUGGUGUCGACAUUCACCUAAUUACUUGCUUUUUCUUAAACUGAGGCAGCCAGCACACCUUGAACAGUCACCAUGACUGCGGGUGUGUCAGCAGAUUCCUGUUGUACAUAUGCUCAUAAUAAAGUUCAGUAAACUUGAACUUGAUAAUAAACUUGAAGGCAAAUGGGA